This 467-nucleotide ribosomal RNA is filed under the name uncultured bacterium. RNAcentral's name for it is "partial 16S ribosomal RNA". It matches the Rfam family "Bacterial small subunit ribosomal RNA", at positions 28 to 507 of the family's 1533-position model. The record is from RNAcentral.
GAUGAACGCUGACAGAAUGCUUAACACAUGCAAGUCAACUUGAAUUUGGGUUUUUAACUUAGGUUUGGGUGGCGGACGGGUGAGUAACGCGUAAAGAACUUGCCUCACAGCUAGGGACAACAUUUGGAAACGAAUGCUAAUACCUAAUAUUAUGAUAAUAGGGCAUCCUAUAAUUAUGAAAGCUAUAAGCGCUGUGAGAGAGCUUUGCGUCCCAUUAGCUAGUUGGAGAGGUAACGGCUCACCAAGGCGAUGAUGGGUAGCCGGCCUGAGAGGGUGUUCGGCCACAAGGGGACUGAGACACGGCCCUUACUCCUACGGGAGGCAGCAGUGGGGAAUAUUGGACAAUGGACCAAGAGUCUGAUCCAGCAAUUCUGUGUGCACGAUGAAGUUUUUCGGAAUGUAAAGUGCUUUCAGUUGGGAAGAAAGAAAUGACGGUACCAACAGAAGAAGUGACGGCUAAAUACGUG